This is a long non-coding RNA of Rhopalosiphum padi (bird cherry-oat aphid), 458 nucleotides long. RefSeq lists it as uncharacterized. The transcript has 4 exons. Lineage: Eukaryota; Metazoa; Arthropoda; Insecta; Hemiptera; Aphididae. The record is from RefSeq and is a predicted model, not a curated record.
UCGGUUUUGUCGCAGAUUGUAUAAUGUUAAAUUUUUAUUUGUUGCAGUUUACAUAUCGACUUUUAGAAGAGCAGGAAAGGGUGUAAUUUUGUCAGAGCUUACAUACAGCCAGUACCGGAAAUCAACACAAUACCUAUAUAGCUACUUUCCCACAGUCAUACGAAACUGUAUGGGAAAAUAAAUUUCUUUUUUCACAACAGAACGGUAGCUAUUUGAAGUGAAUUGUAGCUAAUCGUUUGUUAAGUCAUCGAAGCGUAUUUUGAUUUUAGACGGCUACGAAAGUGGUUUAACUUAAUACCUACUGUGUAUAAAAAUACUGCAGGUACCAAUUCAAAUUUUUGCUUCCACGGUAAAUUUACGAAAAAUCACAUCAGAAAUUGACUAAUUAUUGUCGACGUUAUGAUGAAUAAUUCAAUGACGUCAAAUAACAAGAAACAUAAUAAUCCAUCGAAUAGUGA